This 253-nucleotide ribosomal RNA is filed under the name uncultured bacterium. RNAcentral describes it as "partial 16S ribosomal RNA". It matches the Rfam family "Bacterial small subunit ribosomal RNA", at positions 524 to 776 of the family's 1533-position model. The record is from RNAcentral.
UACAGAGGUCUCAAGCGUUGUUCGGAUUCAUUGGGCGUAAAGGGUGCGUAGGCGGGUCUUUAAGUCAGGGGUGAAAUCCUGGAGCUCAACUCCAGAACUGCCUUUGAUACUGAAGAUCUUGAGUUCGGGAGAGGUGAGUGGAACUGCGAGUGUAGAGGUGAAAUUCGUAGAUAUUCGCAAGAACACCAGUGGCGAAGGCGGCUCACUGGCCCGAUACUGACGCUGAGGUGCGAAAGCGUGGGGAGCAAACAGG